AGGCAAGCAUCUACCCCUGGGCGACACCUCCGUCCCUGGUACUGCUUUUAAUAUCAUGCUUACUGGACACUGUCAUCCAAAACACAAUACAAUCACCUUAAGGCAGAGAGAGAGAGAGAGAGAGAAUGUGCUCUGUGGGGUAGGCCCAUGCAAGCUUGAGUCUCAGCAGACACACACUAAAGAAAUGAUCUCCCGUGUCCCGGUGAAAUGGCGGUGGGACGUGCACACGAGUGUUUCUGGAUGGCCUUAAAGAAAGAAACUCUUUCAGAGAGCAGAGACCUUAACCAUCUUCCCAGCCUUUGAAGUUAUGCACAAUGACGUCCUUUGGUUCCUUGCCCGGGGCAGAGGUUUAAGCUUAAAGACUGUAUUUACUCACCAAGGAUCCUGGAACUGUUUUCACCAUGCUACAUGGCAGAAAGGCUGAGUUUUUAAAACGGCAAAUUAUAAGACAGUGAGGUGGGGGACAUCCUUUACAAGGGACACCCCACUGUGCUAAGGGGCUCGGGAGCUCUAGGUUUAACUUUCUGGGUUUAAUUUCCUUUCUUUUCAGUCCUCUGGACUAUUCAGAUCAGUCUCCUGGCACUAAAGUCAAAGUCACAAGAAGCAGGAGUAGGUUUGUCCAUCCUGCCUCAACCUGUCCUUGUGCCAGCCUGUCCAGCCAAAGCCUGUCCUGCAGACACCAGCAGCAAGCCCAGUGUGCAGGGUUACAGAGGUGGACAAGCUGACCGGACUUGAGUCCAGACGGAGGCCACAGCAGGCACAGGGAUCCCUCGGGUACCUGCAGGGACAGCGCCACCCCUGAGGAUUUGCAGGGGAAUGGCAGCUUUGGAAGAAGCAGGGUGUGCCAUGCUCUUCAGAGGGUGUGAGAUGAGUUGCAGAGACACAGUGAUGUUGGCCAGAUUUACGGUGGGUCCUGCCUGCCCCGGCCACCACUGGAACCCUGCACACCAAGUCUGCCCAGUGCUGAGUAUACAGAGGGCCCUCGUGACAUGCUUGUGGAACAAGGCCUGGUAACUGCUGCUCCCAACGCUUCUUCCCUGUCUGCUAGAUACCUGCCCAUCUAGGGCUAUAAUCUUUUUAGAGGCUCACCAGGCUCAGUCCUGGACAUGAAAACAUCCUCUCGCCAGAGCUCUUUGGUAUGUUUGAGUUCACUUUGAUCUUGUGCCAUGACAACAGCUCUUAUGCAACACCCCACACCCCCCUCCAAAAAAAAGCUGGGAAUCCAGUAUUAGUCACCUAAGGAAAGGUAAGAAUAUUCCAUGUUGUCGUUAUCGAGAUUUGGUGAUCUCCAUAAAAUUAGUUCCUGAAUUGGAGCCAUACACUUGAAGGAAAUAUGUUGCCUCGAGAUUUAUCUUUCUUCUUGGGAGGACUUGCUGGUGCCUCUACAGCACCUGAUGUUAGGAUAGGCCUCGGGCCAGUCAUUGUAAAGAGCAUCUGAAAAACCGCUCAGGGCGUCCCGAGUGUAGCUCCACGCAGAGGCCCUGGGUUCCAUUCCCAGCACCACAAAGAAGAGAAAAUCCCCCAGGACUUGGAGCUUGGUUGUUUUGUGGAGGAUAUGACUAUUUGUUUGCUUAAGCAAGGCUGUAUGCAGGGAAAAUGCUGAGAAAACAUUGGCUAAACCCGAGACCCCACCAGCAAAUAAAAGCCCACGGUUCGCAGUGUAUCCGUCUGGAGUCUUCUCCCUGAUUUAUAGGGAUGAAUAAUGUAUAAAUAAGCUGAACCCCAUUCAAACAAGUCAGCGAUCAGUUCACAGUAGAAGUGUAAACAUGACCCUUGGUUUAAGUUAACCUUCAACUCCAAAUUGUCUAUAUACACAAUAAAAUAAGGCCUGUGUGGGGGCCUGGGGGGUGUCUGCCA
Molecule: long non-coding RNA, 1857 nt
Filed under: Marmota monax (woodchuck)
Lineage: Eukaryota; Metazoa; Chordata; Mammalia; Rodentia; Sciuridae
Source: RNAcentral